Molecule: ribosomal RNA, 131 nt
Filed under: Eubacteriales Family XIII. Incertae Sedis bacterium
Lineage: Bacteria; Bacillati; Bacillota; Clostridia; Peptostreptococcales; Anaerovoracaceae
Description: partial 23S ribosomal RNA
Rfam family: Bacterial large subunit ribosomal RNA
Source: RNAcentral
GGUCAAGUAAUGAAGAGCAUAAGGCGAAUGCCUUGGCAUCGGGAGCCGAAGAAGGACGUGACAAGCUGCGAAAAGCUUGGGUGAGGAGCAAAUAUCCGCUAUAGCCCAAGAUGUCCGAAUGAGGGAACUCA